CCUCCUGCUGUGCCCGACUGCAGACCUCACUUCUCCGAACAUUGCAGUGAGCAGGUGUCAACACUGUUCUUUUUCUUGGUGAAAUGGAAGGUCACAGCUGCACUCAGGCUUCUGACGUGGCAGCCUGGCAGUGACUGCCCUCCCUAGAGACCUGGGUUCUGGCCCCAUGGAGAUGACUGCAGGCUUCAGCCAGAGUAAGUGUUUAAUGAGUGUUGGAAGAAUUGGCUGAUCUGUGUUUGGUUCUUUAAAAUACAUCAUCCGAGUCUCUUUCUUUCAUGUAUGUUUCAGCCGCUGCCUUUUGUUGUUGCUGAGCAUCCUUCCUCCUGAGCCCCUGGUCCUUGGGCGAUGUUCCCCUGAGGGCAGAGAGCCUCCUGGGCCGUCAGCCGGGGCUGACUAGGGGCUGAGGACGCAGAGCCUGGACUCUGAGUCACUUCUGCCUGGGUUACGGCCAGGCUUCUGUCUGAAAGUCUGGGAAAGCCCAUUCGUUCAUUCAGCAAACAUUUCUCAGGCUUGCUAGGGGGCACCAGAGGCACUGAAGGAGUGAUGUGGAGUCUAUAUUCUGGGCUCACACCCAGAUUUCUGGUCAGCUGGCAUCGUGGGAGGCUUGCAUCCCCACUCUGAUUCUCUGAUCAGCAGCUUAGAAGUGUCUCCAGACAGUUGUGGUGACCUCAGUCUCAGUAGAAAUUCUAAUUUCCACCUUGGGGGACACAGGCUGCCCCAGGGACCCCCAGCCCCUGGUGGCUGGGAGAGUUCCAGCUCUGCAGACCCCGAGGGCGCGACCACAGGAGGUCUGAUCUGUGCCUCUCUGAGCCAGGCCUCGUCUGUGUCAGCAAAUGGAGCGUGGCAAUUGGCCAAAUUAUUCAGAUAACGAGAGCAGAGACAUCCCUGUGUCCCAAGCAUAAGUAUUUCAGGGAAAAUGGGGCUUCUGCUGCUGGCAACAGAGAGAAAGCUCUAUGUCCAGAGGAGGUGGGGAGUGUUCAGUGCUUUGAGGGGCAGCUGGAGGCGGUGGCGGGGCAGAGCCUCUUUCCCAGAUUGGGCACCACUUGCCCGGACACCCAAUGCCCAGGGCUCCUCUGCGGGCUUUGGUUCCGGGCUCCUCUCUGUCUCAGCUCUCGGGGGAGGGUCAGGAAAUAAGAGAAAGGACAAGGUCAGUUUAGACAGGGCCCCGACCAAUCUCUUUGGGUCUGCAUCCCCAAAUGAACCUGUCAACUGAUGGAACCAGCAAUCAGGAUGAGCAGCGCGCCAGGAACCCGUCAGACGCUAAGUGGGAACACAUCUGUGGAUGAACACGGAAGCCGCUGCGGGCUUUCUCCUGUGAUGCCACAGCGGGUUUGGAUUUUGGGGACUCGCGACCGGCUGAGGCACUAUCCAAGGGCCACACUUCCCAACCCACUGUGGUGUCUCUGGAAAGGAAAUGAGUGCUCCCUUCCAGACGCACAGACCUGCCAGAGAAACCACGACAAACACGGAGGCGCCAAGAGCAGCGCUUGCAGAGGAAAAUCACAGAAACGGGCCCUGGCAGGUGCACAGACUCCUGUCUGGGUGACCGGUGGUCCCAGUCAUUUAAGUGGAAUGUUCGUCCUCCCUGUGGCAGUGAAUGGCUCCCACCUGUCCAGCCCAGGCCUGCGGGGUCCGUCAUGGAGCCUGAGGCCACAGCUGUCCCCACUGUGAUCUUCAAUGAUUACACAACGAGUAGUUGUCAACGCCAUGUUUAACUCACUAACCAACAACAGACCAUGUCCCCUGAACACCUGUGUGAGUCUGACAAUAAGACUAAACCUUUGGGGGGCUUCUGGGCUGUGCAGAGCCAGCUACCUUACAGUGAGGGUCGUUACAAAUGCACUGUGACAACAGUUUACAUCUUCCAACAGUGGGCGAUGCAGCUCAGGUUGGCCAUCAGGAAUUGCUCUAGCAUGCCACCAAAGUCACUCGUCUUUCCCGUGUUCUUUCACAUCUGAUCACAAUUCUGCAUGCUGCUUACUCCCACGCCUACGACUCCAGUGAGAUCACUCACCUGUCUGCCCCCUUGUUUCUUCAUUGAGUGCUCAUGUCCCAAACCAAGCGCCUUGUGUGCCCCACCCAGAACCCCGAGCUCACUCAGGCGAGGUGGCCCAGGUUCUCACAGUGGCUGUGGCACAAACCCUGGUGUCAUCUUGAUUCAUUGGUCUUUCUUGUACCCACAUUUUCCAGCAAAGGCAGUUGGCUCUACCUUCAAAGCAUAUCCAGACCCAGCCACAGCUCACCACCUCCACGGCCGCCUCCCUGCCCUGGGUACUGCAGUCACCUCCUGCAGGGUCUCCUUGCUUCUGCCAGGUGUCCUUCAGCUGCCACCCAAUUCAUCAGAGUAAAGCUGCUGUCUGGUCCCAUGCUUUCUCCUUGACUUCAUCUGCUUUCCCUCCAACUUCAUCUGCUGUCCCCGGCUCCCUUCUUUCCUGCCACACGGCUUCCCACUGUCCUUGAACAGGCCAGGAUGGCUCCAACCCCAGGGCCUUUGCACUUGCUCUCACUCCAGAUAUCUGUCCUUUUCAGGGUCAGCAAAGGUGGAAAUCCUUAUUGGCUCUCUGGGAGGACAGGCCACAGGAUAACGGGAAUGAUCAGAAAUAGAAACACAUCAAUUAAUAUAGCAAAAGAGUGUAUUGUAUUUAUGCACUUGUAUGUGUGCCAGCUUCUGACUUAUUUCAAGAUGUUAAGGUUUAUGGAAAACCCCACAAAUAAUUUCUAUGCUAUUUGCCAGUAAUACAGAUUCCAAAACUAAAAAGAGGAAAUAUUGGCAUAAUAAGAACCACUCUGGGUUAAAAGACCCUCUGACUGGUCUUGGCUGUCCCGACAUGGACCAGCCUGUCUCGAUGGACGGGGUGGGCUGGAGAGGAGACUUGAGCGCCAGCCGGGCCUGCCCCGAGGUGGGGGUCCCUUAGGGCUUGUCCCCCAGGAGAGCAGACCGCAGAGCGAGGAGGCAUGGACAAGGCUUUCUUGGCAGAGGAAGUAGCGCCUUGGUUUAUGUUCCAGGCGAGGGGACUUCCAGAGCCUUUCCAGUCUAGUGGGAACCCGAAAUGAGCAACACUGCGGGCUUUCUCGUCCCUUUUGAGAAGCGGCUCAGAGCCUGGCCCUACUCACUUUCUGCGGGUCCACCCCAGACAAAGCCACCAGACUUGUGCGCCGUGGGGAGACUCAAAAACACGUCUGGCAUGUUUACGUGAGCCCGAGAAAAAGGACCCAAAGCUUUCUCGGAGCUGAGGUUUAAACUUCAAGUUCUAUGUCUGCUGUGAAGGCACAGAAGACGCUCUCAGUGCAUGUCAUUCUCUGGGGAUGGGGGCCAGUUUAUUGUCGAGGGCCCUUUCUUUGAAGAUUCUGCUGCGAUGUUGCUUGGGUUUCCCUUUUAAGGUUGGAUGAACAAGGGGCAAAUUUUCUGAGACCAGACUGCUUUCCUGUCUGAGUUGUUUUUGGGGCAGUGGGCAAGGACAGUGGGUUAGCCAGGCCCUCCUGCCUUCCAGGGACGUCCUGAUCUUCCCGGAAGUGUCCCCUGGGCCAGGCUGACCUGGCCGGGCCGCAGGGCUGGAUCCAUCUUGUGGCUCCAGGUGAGCACAGCUCACACCCAUCUCACAGCCCUGCACCUUGUUCUGGGGCCCUGUGCUCUCCUCCUCACCAAGCAGCUGCUUGGGCGUGGUCUCAUGACCCAUUGGCCCUUUCUAACCCUUUCCCCUGGAGGCUCAGUGAACUGCCUUAGUAUCUCUGUGCCCAGAGCAGACUUGGCUCCACCUUCUGGCCACUUCUGUCCCCCAGCCACACUGGUGCUCGCUGGACACUGGGCCCUGUGGUUGGCUGGUGGGUGCGUCCACCUGCCUGGAGCCAAAGCCUUGCUCAGGUCUGCGGCAAAGUCACUUUGUGUCCCCUCAGAAAACUGCAUGUCAUCUCAGUGGGAACAGGAAUGCCCCUCAGUGGGAACAGGAAUGCCCCUGAGCCUGUUGAAUUUCUGAAAUAGCCCCAAAUCUGUCGCAGAAGAAGAAGAAGAAAGAAAACUGGGGUAGCAGGAGUGUUUGAGGAGAAAAUCACUGAGAGUUCUCCAGAAUGAAUGAAAGAUGCUUGUUCACAGACUCAAGAGAUCCAGUAAAUUCCAAGCAGAAGGACUGAAAAUGCAACACAGUGAGUGGCCCCGUGGCUCAGAAGGUGGGGUCCAGGCCCACCCACCUGGGGCCGGCGCCGCGUGUCCAGUGGCUGUGCAGGGAUGCGGCCCACAGCUCAGAGGCUGACCCACGGAGGGUUGUUGCCUUUAGAGGGCGGCAGAGCUAUGGCCUGCAUGUGGGAGAGCUGGGGGGCAGGGACCACGUCUUGUGGGGUUCUUGAGCUUAAAGGUUGUGGAGAGGAGCUGCAGGCGGAGGCGACCGAGGAGAGAUGGCGCUGUGGGACCCCGAGCCACUCCAGCUGUGGCAGCAGCAGCAGCAGCAUCCCAUUCUGCCCCGCGGCAGGUAAGGAGGGCUGAAGCUGGCUGUUCAGUUCAGUGACCACAGGUCACCUUUGCGAGCGCCGCUUCUUAGAGACAUAAUAACUCUGAAUGACCCACUUUCUUUCGGAGAUUUAUUACAGCUUGUUGUUAUUUUAUUAUUACUGUCUGCAAUUUUCUCUUCUACUGCUCCUGGGAGCAGUAAGUUUAAAGUGCAGUCCUUCAGAAAAGGCUUGAAUUGGGCAUACAUCAUCAUCUCCGUAGAUGGCCUGCUCACAGUGAGCGUCGUCUCAAGGUUUAGAAGGGGACGCUGUGGCUGUUUCCACCCUGGCUGCCCCUUUUCGCACAGGUUGUUCCCUUGGGGGCUGCGGGGGUGGGUGUGUGCGUGUGUGUAUGUGCUCGUGUGCGGGUUGUGUGACCUUGGAGGUAACUUCAUUGCUCUAAGCCUGGGCGUCUUCAUCUGUUGGGGGCAGGGUGACGAGCUCUGCCUUGCUGGGCUCUGGUAGCUUAGCAUAUGGCUGGAUGGGAAGUGUCUGCAUUUUUCUGGGUGUUGGGCUGGAGUCUGGGAGACAGGCCAUGGCGUGUGUGCGUGACUGUCCUGGUGGCCUGGGAUGGUGGAAGGAUGACAAGGGUGGAGUCCUUUGCAUGUGCUGGAUCUGGAGAAACAGGAAGCAACGCUGUCAGAAGUAGGUGAGGUGUCACAGCCUGGCUCCUCUCUGCUGCCCUUGUGCCCUGAGUGUCACCUGCACUGAGACUUGGAAACUUGCCAGAAGCCACAGUCCAGGUCAGGACUGGCACUUGGUUCUUUCCCACCCUGGCUUCACGCGGUCUCCGAAGCACGAAGCAGAACCCUGAGAGCAGCACCUCGGUCAGCAGAGUGGUGACCAGAGCCCCCCGGCUGGUGCCUCAGUGGAUCUGACUGGUGACAGCUGUACACAACGUUAAAGAAGGGCUGACUGUUUCACCCUCCUCACCCCAAAAGCAUCUGGAGGAGAACCAGCUGUGCAUUCUCCCGUGACUCCAGGCUUGGCAGUACGCCCGGGCACCUGCCCUUGCCCCCAGGAACCCUGCCCUUAAAGAUGAGUGUUCGGGUAAGAUGGGUGGAGCUUUCUGAACAGAGGAGGCCCAGAUGCUAUCUCAGGGCGUUCUGUUCCUCCGUGCACCCGGAACUGCCUCACCCUUCCUGCUCCUCCCGCUGCCCCCUUCUAGCCCCUCGUGGCCGUGAUGGCCGUAGGAGACCCUGUGCAUGUACCCGCCCAUCCCAUACCUGUUCUGUGUGCCCCUCCCUCCCAGCUUUGUUGUGCUUCUAUGACCUGCACCUCCCAUGCUUUGUCAGAGAACCGUCCCCACCUGCAGGUGCAGGGAGCUGACAGUACUCGGGGUGGGGGCAGUGACUGGGCAGGAAGCCAGGACGGCUCUGGGCAAGACUCCACCCUCCAGAGUCCCCACGGAAUCCUCCUGGCUGUCCCCUUCCCGGUUCUGUUUCCUCAUUCCCUGGGGGUAGAUCCUUAUCAUGUACACAGGGAUGGCCUUCUCGGGGUCUGUGCCUGAACCCUGAAUCCUGAAUCCUGGAGUGUCUGUGGUCCUGGGACCCAGAGACUAAGGAUGUGAUUCUCAGCUGACCAGACGGCGACAAGUGCCCCUCCCUGGAGGUAGGUGGAGGGCUGACCGCUCCUGUGUGCUGAGGCAUUGCAAUUCCUGACUCCUCCCUUCAGUGAAUUGGGGUGGGGUACCAAUGCCAGGGGGUGGCAUAGCUUGUACAAUGCCCCUGGGAUUUGGGAGAUCCAAGGGAUAUGGGCACCCUACCCGAGCUGUGGAACUGGAUGGUGUUUGGAGGUGCCAUUAAUGCAACAAAGGGGAAAUGGUCAAACAAGACAGCAGUUACCAAGCUAAGGUGACAAGAGCAGACCAAGACCAGACACACUAGCCAGAGGCAGAAGGUCAGGGAAGCAUGAAUUUACAGUCACUUCCUCCACCAGGCGAGCUCCCGACAGGGAGGAGUGGGACUCUGAGGUGGGGCAUCUAGGUGAGGUCUUUAGGAAUGUUGGGCCCUAAUUCCCUGAGCCCUCUGGGACUGUGGCCACCCUGGAGGCCUGUACAAGGCAGAUGUCUGUCACUCUCUUUGGUGUCCAGCUCACCUCCUCCCCGGGCCACGAGGCUGCUUUCUCUGCCCUGAGCAGUGGCCUCCCAACUACCAACCUGUGAUGGUGCCCAGAUUCCCAGGUUCCCUCAGGGAAAUCAGUGGCAAUGACACUGCAUCACUUCCUCUGGGCUUGUGACACCUGCCCCUUGUUCUCAGGUGUCCCCCCAGCUCUGUCUCCCAGGCCGCCUCUGCUUUUUUGGGGGUUUCCUCACCCAACCCACACAGCCUCAGGAUUCAGCACAUGUUUCGGGGUAGCCCACCCUGCACUUGGCACCCCCACUCUGCCGUGCUGCAUUCCAGCACAGCAGGGCCCCAAAAGCACAGAGAAUGGCUGAGUCUCUGAAUAAGAUACAAACCGAAUACAUGGAACAGACAUUCUCAUCAACCACUGAUUACAUGUAAAGCUUCCCAGUGACUUUCGAGUCUUUGGGCCCUUUAGAUGGAAUGGGGAUGCAAGCUCUGGGUCCCUGGAAUGCCUUGGUGAUCCCACGUGGACGGCAGUCUGAUCGCAUAUUUGAUUUCCGUUCUCCCCUGAAAAUCCCCGGUCACCAGCACUUUCCUUGUGGGUGUGCAGGUAAUGCAAAGCUAUUUCUUGUUUCUCUGCAUCAACUUGAGGAUCACUAUUCACUAAAAAGAAAUUUGUUUGCCUUAUUAAUGUUGCUAAAUGGUUUUUCAGUGAUCUCAAGGCGAUGUUUAUAUGUGAGAAUGGUUUUCUUUUUAUUGUUGCUGCAUUCUGAAAGAACGCAUCUCUAUCCUUUCGGGAUUGCUGAAGGAAAGAAGAGCCCUGUCUGCUUAUCUGAGGGGGUCGGGGCGCUGGAGGGAACUCUGUGGGUGCAGAGACAUGCUGAUGUCACCUGGGGAGAGGACAGGGCACAGGCGGUGUGACUGCAGGGUCGGUUCAGUGAGAACCAGAGCCUUUUUGUGACCCUCCUUUAUAACGGCUGGCUAUGCAAAGUUACUUGGUUAAAUUGAGCAUUAUUACUAAAGACAGCAAAAUCCAAGCCCUUAUUUGAGUCCUAAAUUUGUCAGUUAGUAGCCACGUGACUGGUCACCUCAUCUCUCUGAGCCCCACUGUUCUUAUUUCCCGUCAUGAUAAAGAUGGUGAUGACACUGGUGAUAGGAUGGUGAUACCUUGCCUCGUGUCACAUCUCUGGAAAUGAGUGAAGACUAUCCAGAUGAGGAAAGCAAAGGUGUGUGCGGAGAGCCGGCUGUAGCGAGGGAGUCGGCCCGUCACUUGGUUUGGCAGAGACGCAAAGGCAGGCAGGGGAUGGGGGAGCUUCAUAGGGGAGAAAGGAGGCUCAGGGUGCCCUGAUGGGGGUUGUGGGCCUGGGGGCGCUGGGGUGGGCUAACUAGAAGUGGGGCGUCCUUGUGAUUGGUUAGGGGAGUGUGUUCGGCUGUCUCUGGUUGGUCCUGAGUUGGAAGCAGGGGCAAAAAUUAGGGAAGCUAUCAGUUACUGACCAAGUCCUGGUCAUUAGGGGCCGAUCGUUAUGGGGUUAUUGUGUAGCCUCCUGGAUUGUCACUAGAGACAGCAAGCUGGCCCCCUGCAAGUCUGCAUGUGCAAGUCUGACAUGAACCAAACUCCAAAUGCCCAGAUCUCCCCAAUCCUGGCUCACAGGAGUGAUUGAGUGUAUUCAGUCUCUCACCUUGGAAGCUGUUGGUGGACCAGCUCCAGAGAAGGGAGGUAGACAUGCGAGCCUUUACAUCUGUGUCCUAACGCUGAGUUGACAGAGGACAGGCCGUCAGGGGCACCCGGCAUGUGGCUGGUGACCACGGGUCUGGUGGAGGUGGCACAGCUUCAGGGGAGUUUGGCAAGAUGUGCCUCGGGGUGCAAUCCUGGAGCUGGCGGGGCCCAGCAUAGGCUUAACCUUGAACCGCCUUCUGGCACAGAACAGUGAGUGGGAGACACCUUGCGCUGGAAUUAGUCCUUGAGUCAGGAGCACAUGGGAGGCCCGGAUGGUCCUGCGUCCAAAGACUGACAUGGGAAGAAAUUUCUCCGAAAUUUAUUUCCUGGGUAAAAGAAGAAUCAUUCUUUAAGGUUAAUAGCUCAAUUUUCAUUUAAUGAAACGCUAUUUCCCAGGAAAGCUCAGUUCCCAGCAAUUUUAUUCCCAGUAUGGCUGUGCAUCAGAAUCGUCUGGACAUUUUAAAAUUUAAAAUGUAAAGUUCUCACCUCAAUUACAAAAUGGGCAAAGGAUCUGAAUAAACGUUUUUCCGAAGAAGACAUACAGAUGACCAACAGGUGCGUGAAAUGGUGCUUGACGUCACUAACCAUUAGGAAAAUGUAGAUAAAGACCAUAAGGAGACAUCGCCUCACACCUGUCAGAAUGGCUAUCAUCAAAAAAGACAACAGACAAGUGCUGGUGAGGACAUGGAGAAAUGCAGCCUCGAGCUCUGCUUGGAACCUUUGCUUUAUAGGACACUACAUCUAAAUUCACUAAAUUCAGACAGAGUUUAUUGAAGCCCUAUGGCAUGAAGAUAAAAAGAAGAAGAUGAAAAUGACCAUUUUGUGAUCAUUCUAGUGCAUGAAGCUAGAUAGUUGCCUGAAGUAAAAGCACAAUAUAAUUUUUGUAAUGUUAGUUAUUAUUUUGUUUCAUUUGACUUUAUUUUAUUCUUUCCUGUAACGAAAGAGGAGGGAGAGAUACAGACAGAGACAGACACACAGAAAGAGAAAACUAAAGCGAAUGAGCUGUCCUAAGGCUUCAGACCCUCAAAAUCUUUCCUUGGUCCUAGUUGGGGGGUCUCAGAACUCCCCCAACAUCUGUCACCUGGCAGCCUGGAGCCUGGGGCAGAGGCACCGGCUCCAGGUCCACCCAGCGUUGGCGGCAGGAUGGUGGCUGGGCUCAGGUUUCUGGUCCUCAGCCCAGGAUGUGCCGGGGCCUGCCACACUCGUAAGACCAUGCCGUCUGAGGCGGGAGGGGGUACAGCAGAAACUCGAGAGAAGACAGCUCAGGCUGUCACGGAGCCCACAUUCCGGGAUGAGAUCCUCAGCCGGGGAGACAAUGCUUGCUUUGGACGUGAACCAAACUCCAGAUGCCCAAACCUCCCCCAUCCUGGCUCACAGGAGUGAGCGAGUGUAUUCUGUUCAGGGCCCGCCUUUCCUUCUCACUGCCCAAUGUCUGCCAGUGGCGUUGGAGGUAAUGAGCCAAGUCCCCAAAGGACCCCUUCCUAGAGGCAAACUGGACCAUUACAGUAUUACCUUUUUCAGAGAGAAAUUUCUGGAGCCCAACGUAUUUUGCAUGGAGCAACCAACUAUACAUAGCAAGCUGAAUCCUUUUCUGUUCUAUAGAAGAGAAGUCUGUGUCCACUUUUGAUAGCUGUAGGCAGAAAAAUUCCCACCAGUCCCUCCAUCUAGGGCUGAACUUUGAAGUGACCACAGCCCUUAACCCUGUCACCUCCAUGUGCUAGUUGGAGCCCUGGGUGAAUCCCUUCGCGUUCCCCAGAUGGACAGCAUUACAUGGAUGCCUGGGGCUUUGGCCCAUCCUGGAAUUCUCCCUGCAACGCUAACCUGGUGAAUUUAUGGGGAAGCCAAGUCCAAGACGAAUGAGAAUGCAGCCAGCUUUCCUGGACCACGCCCCCGAAUCUUGCGGUGAAUAACAGGCAUCCGUGAGGUGCUGGUGGACUUGAGAAUGGGAGCCAGCCCCUGGGAUCCCAGCAAAGCUAAAAGGCUACCAGCUUCCCGUGGCUGAGACAGUCGACGCCCACCUGGCCUCACUCCUGGGACCAGGCACAUCUCAAGUGUGGAGUGUAGGGGACAUUGGGGGUCUGCACUCUCUCAUUGUGUUUAUCAUGCUGUGUCCUGAGUUGCAGCCUCCCUUAAAGUGAAUCACACUUGGUUCGGAGUGAGGGCUCUUGUUUGAAUGUCUGGAUUCAGGGUGCUGCUGCUGGCCACCCAGGGUCGGCAUCCUCCCUGUAGCUUGUCCCUCUAAACUACCUCUCACUUGCAGUCACCAGGAAAGCUCUAACCUUCUGGGCAAAGACCUCUCCUGGACCCUCCUUCUUAUUCCGCUCCUGGCCUGGCCAUCUUUUGCUUCUGGGAGGGCAGGUAUGCGUUCCAGAAGCACAGAGAUGGCAUGGCCAUCUCCAUAGGAGUGUUUGGAAAUAGAUUCUGCAGGACAUGGCCUUUUACCUGGACUUUGAGGCUGGGUCAUGACAUGAGUGAGUCCUGGCUGAGGGUGAGGGCAUCCGCAUGCACCCCUCUGGGGAGGGGGUUGUCAUCAGGUCUGUGACCACAGCCAUUCAGACCAAAGCAUUUUGGAACAGAAAUGUUGCGAUGCCACACAUUUUCAGCGAGGCUGCUCUGGACCCAAACAGUCCUUAGGUGUAAGCGAGAGUUAAACAGUGCACUGAAUGUACACUUUUGAAACUUGUCUGUGCUGUAUGUUUCCAGUAAUUUACCUUUAGUUCUCAACCUAGCACUGCUGGUGCUCAUUGACUGGCUUGUGAACAGCGCCUUCACUGGACACCCCAGAUCAACAUGCAGGUCCGAUGCCUGGGGGCCCACAUGGAAACGAGACUUGACAGUUCACACCGUGGAACUGUGUGCAUGGAGAGGAAGAAAAGGUGCCCAGGAUUCAGUGGGUUGACAUUUGCUGCUCGCGUAUUCUGAGAAUCUCCCCUGAGAAUAAAUCUAUUGCUUAUUAAAAAAAUAAAUUAUAAAGACUUCCUGGUAAAGAUGGUGUCAUGGACCCAGAUCUUAGAAUCUCCCUUCCCCAAUUCCUGAUGAGACUAAUAAAUAGUAGAAAAAAUUAGCAAAACAUUUUCCACUCUCAAAGACAGAGUUAUAAAUUCACACCACAGCAUUUGAGAACGGCAGCCAAGGAAAGCGGUAGAAGAUUCUCGUGCAGCAUCUAACUCCUUCACAGCUCCCCGGAGACUAUACUGGAAAACAAGAGUCAACAAAGUCCUAAUAGUUCUCACUUGAAUUCCCUAAUGUUGGGAGAGGUGGACAGACGGUGGGUGUACAGCCUGGAGAGAAGUUUCAAGAAAUCCUCAAAUUGGAGGCUCUUGCCAACCACGGUGCAAUCUCAAGGUCUAAGCAGAGGCAAGAAAAUUACCAAGUUUGACAUUUUCUAGGACUCCACGCUGAGUUAAGGAAAUGCCCAAACCAGUAUCCUGCCAAGCGGGCUGACACUCCCCUGAGUAACUGUGUGACAUUUAGCGCAAUCUCAGAAAAGACAGCAGAACCCGGGAAAUCCAAUACAGCCUCACAGAGCAAGAAGAAAGGGAAAUUUUAGAGACCUAAUAUCAAGUGAGUGCAAAAAUCAGCCCCUUUAUAGAACUAGAAAAUGAACUAGAAACAGAAUAUACACAGCUAAAAUUUAAUCAACUCUUCUGGAGGAAAGUCUUGAAAUAAUCGUUGUGAACACAUAGGAGCUGUACAGAGAUAUGAAAGCAAUUAGAAAAAACAUAAAAGAUUUGAUGGGUUGACUUAGAUGAUCCAAUAUGAAUAAAAUUUAUUAAUGUUAAUUAGAAAACCAAUCAAUGAACAGAGUUUUCAAAAAUGUAAUAAAAAAAUUCCUGAAGUUAAAGGAACCUGAAGUUAAAGAUUGAAGAUGCAUAACUAUGAAGUAGUCUAGAAAAAAUUCAUUAUUAAAUGGACACAUUAUUAAGCGGGCAUGUUUUGACUGAAUUAUUGAACUUUAAGUGAAAAGAAAAAUUAUUUAGGUUUUGAGGAAGAAAAUGAAAUUCAUAUACAAGGAGAAAAAAACCAGGCUGACUACAUACUUCUUAGCAAUAUUCAAUGUGAAACGACAAUUGAGCAAUUAUCUGGCGCGAUUAAAUUGUUACCCUAAAAUGUAAAGCCAGUAAAAUUGUUAUUAAGUCUAAAGGCAAUAGGAGGCAUUCUUUAAAAUCUCAAGAAAUAUAGAGCCAGUGAAUAUUUUAUUGAAAAAAAUAGUCCAGUGAAGCAAGUCAGUUGAUCCAAAGAUGAGUGAAGAGGCUAUGCUCAGGGUCGGAGGUCACUGGUCAGUGGAGCGAUGUCCAGAAAGUUCUGAGGGAAGGCGAGUGUGACCCAGGAAUUUUACACCCAGCCAACCUUUCUUUCAAAUACUAAAGCCGUAGACAGACAUUCUCAAGUGAGCAAACUGCAGAGAAGAAACCACCCAAGAAUCUUUCCUGAAAAAAUGUGACAGUGAAAUCCAGCCAAGCAGAAGAUGAAUAAAAACAGAGUGUAGAAAUGGACAAAAGAACUGGAGGAGUAUACUGAAUCCACGGAAAUAUAGUUCUAUAUGCAGGGAUUUCGAUGAUUGAGUUGAGGGUGAAUGCUAUAAAGCAGGAGAAAACAUAAAAUUAUCAAAAAUUUACAAAGAAGUGGGAGGUGGAGAUCACAGGUGGCGUAAGUGCAAUAUUCUCAUGGCUCCGAACUCCUAAUGUUUUGUGUGUUGUAAAAAAUGUUUUCGGAAUCCAAAUGAUCUUUUCUGGUGAAUAAACACUACUCGAGGUUCAGCAUUUAAUUGUUUCAUCCCAGUUUCUUUUUUAAUUUAUUUCAAGUAAAUUAAAUUUUAAAAAUUAAAUUAAAGUAAGUAUGUGUA
Equus caballus (horse) is the source of this 13108-nucleotide non-coding RNA. Lineage: Eukaryota; Metazoa; Chordata; Mammalia; Perissodactyla; Equidae. The record is from RefSeq and is a predicted model, not a curated record.